UCAGUCAACUUGGGUUCGAUAUUCAUUACGGUAAAAUAAAUCUGAUAAUUUUUGGUGCAGAAUUUUCCGAUCCUCUGCCUUGAACGAAGAAGAUGACCCGAGGAAAACAAAAGAUCGAAGCUCAGAGGCGAAAUGCGGAGAAAAAUCAGAAGCAGAAAGGCUCGCAGUUCGAGGCUAGAGCCGUUGCCCUUAAAGUCAUCUGCCCUAUUUGCAAGGUACAACUAGCAAAUCAUAACCAAUUGGGUGAUCACUAUGCCUCCAAACAUCCGAAGGAAAAGCCACCGUCAGAAUCUGGCUGAAUCGCCCCUUGCAAGUUGCAGUAUGUGAGUAGCUUUAUUGAAGGCAUUUCAAAGUUCCCUUCUGUGCAGAUCAAUGAAAGUUGCUCUGAUUGAUUGUCUUCAUCUUUCUUGUUCUUAAAAUUGUACUCCUCCUUGUAAGGGUAUAAAAUGACGAGUCAUUGUGGCACUUGUAAAAUAAACAAGACUCUAAUACGCUUGUUCCAGAGUCGUCCCAGUCUAGUUUACUCUGUGCCUAUGAACUAGGGAAUCCUAUCCUAAGAAAUGACAUUUUCUUUAUAAAAGGAUACAAUCUUGCAAAUGCAUAA
Molecule: long non-coding RNA, 604 nt
Organism: Cucurbita maxima (winter squash)
Lineage: Eukaryota; Viridiplantae; Streptophyta; Magnoliopsida; Cucurbitales; Cucurbitaceae
Exons: 2
Source: RefSeq, a predicted model, not a curated record